RNAcentral lists this transfer RNA (67 nucleotides) under Marmota monax (woodchuck). RNAcentral's name for it is "tRNA.Ala". Lineage: Eukaryota; Metazoa; Chordata; Mammalia; Rodentia; Sciuridae. The record is from RNAcentral.
GGAUGUGGCUCAAUGGUACAGCACUUGCCUAGCAUAUGUGAGGCACUGGGUUCAAUUCUCAGCACCA